GAUGAACGCUAGCGAUAGGCCUAACACAUGCAAGUCGAGGGGCAGCAUUAUGAAGUAGCAAUACGGAUUAGAUGGCGACCGGCGCACGGGUGCGUAACGCGUAUGCAACCUACCUACAAAAGGGGGAUAGCCUCUCGAAAGAGAGAUUAACACCGCAUAGUACUACCGAGAGGCAUCUUUUGGUAGUUAAAUAUUUAUAGAUUGUAGAUGGGCAUGCGUAUGAUUAGCUAGUUGGUGAGGUAACGGCUCACCAAGGCGACGAUCAUUAGGGGUUCUGAGAGGAAGGUCCCCCACACUGGUACUGAGACACGGACCAGACUCCUACGGGAGGUAGCAGUGAGGAAUAUUGGUCAAUGGACGCAAGUCUGAACCAGCCAAAUCGCGUGAAGGAUGAAGGUUCUAUGGAUUGUAAACUUCUUUUAUAUGGGAAUAAAGUGCGGUACGUGUACCGUUUUGUAUGUACCAUAAGAAUAAGGACCGGCUAACUCCGUGCCAGCCGCCGCGGUAAGAC
This 511-nucleotide ribosomal RNA is filed under the name uncultured bacterium. RNAcentral's name for it is "bacterial SSU rRNA". It matches the Rfam family "Bacterial small subunit ribosomal RNA", at positions 28 to 526 of the family's 1533-position model. The record is from RNAcentral.